GCUAGGAGAUACGGGGCUCGCCCACACUCCGCUAUCUGGGAGAUACGGGGCUCGCCCACACUCCGUUAUCUGAGAGAUACGGUCCUUGCCCACACUCAGCUACUAAACCACAACAUACAAGUAUCACACAGACAACGAGUAUAAACAAUUCUAUUAUACUAGCAUAUAUCAUAAUCAAACUCAAUUAUAAGAUACGGGCUCUGCCCACACUCCGAUACUACAUAUCAUCUAUACGGGUCGACCUUGGUACCUUAGACCCUUUCCUAGUGGAAGGAAACUCACCUCGAAAAGUAGCUACCGAAAGUCCGCCUGCUAGACGUUUGACUGUUGUACCGGUAGUUCUCCGGCUAUAAAGUCAUAAACAUAGAUUAGUUACUCAUAAAUACCCUUAGGUCAAAUGACUGACCUACCUCUAGUCCAAGGUCAACUCAUUAGGGUCGACCUUGGUACCUUAGACCCUUUCCUAGUGGAAGGAAACUCACCUCGAAAAGUAGCUACCGAAAGUCCGCCUGCUAGACGUUUGACUGUUGUACCGGUAGUUCUCCGGCUAUAAAG
This 555-nucleotide long non-coding RNA is filed under the name Lactuca sativa (garden lettuce). RNAcentral describes it as "long non-coding RNA (LSAT_LNC005700)". Lineage: Eukaryota; Viridiplantae; Streptophyta; Magnoliopsida; Asterales; Asteraceae. The record is from RNAcentral.